RNAcentral lists this ribosomal RNA (467 nucleotides) under uncultured bacterium. Its description in RNAcentral is "partial 16S ribosomal RNA". It matches the Rfam family "Bacterial small subunit ribosomal RNA", at positions 28 to 507 of the family's 1533-position model. The record is from RNAcentral.
GACGAACGCUGGCGGCGUGCUUAACACAUGCAAGUCGAACGGAAAGGCCCUGCUUUUGUGGGUGCUCGAGUGGCGAACGGGUGAGUAACACGUGAGUAACCUGCCCUUGACUUUGGGAUAACUUCAGGAAACUGGGGCUAAUACCGGAUAGGAGCUCCUGCUGCGUGGUGGGGGUUGGAAAGUUUCGGCGGUUGGGGAUGGACUCGCGGCUUAUCAGCUUGUUGGUGGGGUAGUGGCUUACCAAGGCUUUGACGGGUAGCCGGCCUGAGAGGGUGACCGGCCACAUUGGGACUGAGAUACGGCCCAGACUCCUACGGGAGGCAGCAGUGGGGAAUAUUGCACAAUGGGCGGAAGCCUGAUGCAGCAACGCCGCGUGCGGGAUGACGGCCUUCGGGUUGUAAACCGCUUUCGCCUGUGACGAAGCGUGAGUGACGGUAAUGGGUAAAGAAGCACCGGCUAACUACGUG